GAUGAACGCUGGCGGCGUGCCUAACACAUGCAAGUCGUGCGAUUCUCUUCGGAGAAGAGCGGCGGACGGGUGAGUAACGCGUGGGUAACCUACCCUGUACACACGGAUAACAUACCGAAAGGUAUGCUAAUACGAGAUAAUAUGCUUUUAUCGCAUGGUAGAAGUAUCAAAGCUCCGGCGGUACAGGAUGGACCCGCGUCUGAUUAGCUAGUUGGUAAGGUAACGGCUUACCAAGGCGACGAUCAGUAGCCGACCUGAGAGGGUGAUCGGCCACAUUGGAACUGAGACACGGUCCAAACUCCUACGGGAGGCAGCAGUGGGGAAUAUUGCACAAUGGGCGAAAGCCUGAUGCAGCAACGCCGCGUGAGCGAUGAAGGCCUUCGGGUCGUAAAGCUCUGUCCUCAAGGAAGAUAAUGACGGUACUUGAGGAGGAAGCCCCGGCUAACUACGUGCCAGCCGCCGCCGUAA
This 468-nucleotide ribosomal RNA is filed under the name uncultured bacterium. RNAcentral describes it as "partial 16S ribosomal RNA". It matches the Rfam family "Bacterial small subunit ribosomal RNA", at positions 28 to 523 of the family's 1533-position model. The record is from RNAcentral.